Molecule: ribosomal RNA, 291 nt
Filed under: uncultured bacterium
Lineage: Bacteria
Description: partial 16S ribosomal RNA
Rfam family: Bacterial small subunit ribosomal RNA
Source: RNAcentral
UGCCAGCAGCCGCGGUAAUACGUAGGGAGCAAGCGUUGUCCGGAAUCAUUGGGCGUAAAGAGCGCGUAGGCGGCCCGGUAAGUCCGUUCUGAAAGUCGGAGGCUCAACCUCCGAAAGCGGAUGGAUACUGCCGGGCUAGAGUCCGGAAGAGGCGAGUGGAAUUCCUGGUGUAGCGGUGGAAUGCGCAGAUAUCAGGAGGAACACCAACGGCGAAGGCAGCUCGCUGGGACGGUACUGACGCUGAGGCGCGAAAGCGUGGGGAGCGAACAGGAUUAGAUACCCUGGUAGUCC